GCUUGUUGGCUCCCUAUGGUAUAAGAGCGCAGAAUAAUGGAUCCACAAAGAGAUCCUUUCUAGGUAGUUACCAAGCCUUAGCCUCUCCCGUGCUGCAGAUAUCAGCUGCUAAGAGGCAUCCGCUUGAAAUAAACACCAUUUCCCCAGAAGUGUUUGGCAGUAGCCAGAGGAAACGUGGUUGUAGUUGGCCUUUAAUUAAGACAGCUGCACUGCUUUGACCCUUAUGAAGAGGCAGGAAAGAGAAGCAGAGAUUGGUGGGGUGCUAGCAUGUCUUCCUAUGCAAAAAGAGCAGGAGGAGCCAGAAGACCUCUGUAUUCAAAGCCUCCAGGUGCCUCCUGGACAGCAAUCCCGUGCUUGUAGGAUAGUGUAUUCUCUGACUGCUCUCUGUGGGCCAGAGGGAGCCUUGCUUCCACAGCUGCCCCGUGUCCUGCUAAUGUGGAUAAUCAUCUUCAAUCAGUACCCAAGACAUGCUGACCACCUUGCAAACCCACUGACACAGAGAGGUCCUGUUCCUAUUAUGUGGUCGGCUGUGGUGAGAAAGUCCUGAAGGAAUGACGGCUUGUGUCAGGCUCUCUACAAGCAUUCAGGAGGGUGUGGUGACGUCUCAUUGCCAUUCCUCAUAGCGGACCCAGUGCUAGGCCAGCCUCCCCUCCCCUGUCACAUCGGGGGCCACGGAGCAGUUUCAGCCACCAUGGAACAACCCUGCCCCUACUGGGACCAUUCCUUCUCCCUGCUCUGGUCCUUCAUGCGUCUGCCUUGCAUCCCACCCAGCUGCUCAGGCUGGUUGGCCCUAAGAAACCAGUAAAGUUAAUAACUUGUUUUCAGGGAUGCAGCAAAGCUCCCCUGGACCUCAGCGGUGCAAGGCUGGGCCCACAGACAGAGAAGGAAACCCAUCAUCGCUUUGCCUGUGAUGACCAAGUAUUGGCUAGAGAGAGCACUUGGGUGGGUGAAGCAAGGAGACCUCUUUGCUGUCACAGAAAGAGGCUGGGGCUUACCUCGGUGUUUCUUCACCUUCUGCUGCAGUGAAGGCAGCGACAAAUCCUACACAAAGUGCCCUUCCUUCUCCACCCCAGGCUCCCCAAGAGGACUACGCAAGCCACAAACCACGCAAACCUCAUAAGAGUUUCAAAGAGCUACAAAGACGACUUAAAAGGCCAGCUGCCCAUCACAGAGCGGGCGUUCGGCUCGGACAGAAUAAAGGCAUCUGGUAGCACGGCACACAUUAAAGCAACUUUGCCAUCGAUCCGGCUGUAAAGAACUAACAAGUUCAGCACAGGUCUAGUCUAUAAACACUCCUGGAAUUAGAGGCACCGAGGAAGCAACAGGACGUGUUGUGGUUUUUAUUACAGUAGUUAAAUGCUCCCGAGUUGGUUGGAUUUAACAAUCCCCUUGUACCCAGUGGGUGGGAUAAAAGGGGGGGGAAAAAUAUAACCAAGAGACAUUGAAUUCUAUCUUUUCCUCAAACCAAAGCUAAGCCCUCCUCCUCCUUGAGCAGAGGUGGUCAGGUGCCUGCUGCUACUUGGACUUACCAUGGCAAUAAACAAGAUUCCCCCCCCCCGGCUCCUCUGUCCCCUGCCUAAGCAGCCUCAUCCAGCGAGUUGUGUCUUUGAUAAUCAACCGGCAGCAGGGAGCCGAGUUCCCUGUGGGAGCAGCUUGCACAGUUUAUUUUUUGCACAUGCAGCUCCUGCCUCUCCAGAGGUGGGGACGGAGCUGCCUCCUUGACAUCACUGGAAAAACGUAAGCUGGAGACGGAGAGGCACGAGAAAACUCUGAGCCCGGAGCCUGGGGCUCUCUGCUGUAUUCCCACCAGGCCCCCUUGACCACGCUCCAAGGAGGAAGCUGCCGUGUCCAGUCUUCCUAAAUCGAUUGGCUUUUUAUUGACGGACGAAACUCCAAUGAUCUCAGCAUAAACUGGAAUAGCUAUUUGGUUUUCCACCCCCCCCACGCCCUCCCCCAACACACACACAUCCAGCUGCUGUCUGACUUCCCAACACCAGGGCUAGAGAUUGGUUCAUCGACGCCUUUAAUAUUGCUGGCCACUGAAUCCUCUUUCUUGGGCGAACGGCUUCCCCUCUCCCCCAGCGCAGCCCAAUCCCCUCCUCCAGAGCUGUCAUUUUCUUUAGGAGUUUUGUCUAUGGAGUCUUUAAAAAAAAAAAA
Alligator sinensis (Chinese alligator) is the source of this 2157-nucleotide long non-coding RNA. RefSeq lists it as uncharacterized. The record is from RefSeq and is a predicted model, not a curated record. Lineage: Eukaryota; Metazoa; Chordata; Crocodylia; Alligatoridae. The transcript has 2 exons.